Molecule: ribosomal RNA, 546 nt
Filed under: Herbaspirillum frisingense
Lineage: Bacteria; Pseudomonadati; Pseudomonadota; Betaproteobacteria; Burkholderiales; Oxalobacteraceae
Description: bacterial SSU rRNA
Rfam family: Bacterial small subunit ribosomal RNA
Source: RNAcentral
GCAUAGGAGCUUGCUCCUGAUGGCGAGUGGCGAACGGGUGAGUAAUAUAUCGGAACGUGCCCUAGAGUGGGGGAUAACUAGUCGAAAGACUAGCUAAUACCGCAUACGAUCUACGGAUGAAAGUGGGGGAUCGCAAGACCUCAUGCUCCUGGAGCGGCCGAUAUCUGAUUAGCUAGUUGGUGGGGUAAAAGCUCACCAAGGCGACGAUCAGUAGCUGGUCUGAGAGGACGACCAGCCACACUGGGACUGAGACACGGCCCAGACUCCUACGGGAGGCAGCAGUGGGGAAUUUUGGACAAUGGGGGCAACCCUGAUCCAGCAAUGCCGCGUGAGUGAAGAAGGCCUUCGGGUUGUAAAGCUCUUUUGUCAGGGAAGAAACGGUUCUGGAUAAUACCUGGAGCUAAUGACGGUACCUGAAGAAUAAGCACCGGCUAACUACGUGCCAGCAGCCGCGGUAAUACGUAGGGUGCAAGCGUUAAUCGGAAUUACUGGGCGUAAAGCGUGCGCAGGCGGUUGUGUAAGUCAGAUGUGAAAUCCCCGGGCUCA